RNAcentral lists this ribosomal RNA (430 nucleotides) under uncultured bacterium. Its description in RNAcentral is "bacterial SSU rRNA". It matches the Rfam family "Bacterial small subunit ribosomal RNA", at positions 361 to 773 of the family's 1533-position model. The record is from RNAcentral.
AUCUUGCGCAAUGGCCUAACGGCUGACGCAGCGUCGCCGCGUGGGGGAGGAAGGGCUUCGGCUCGUAAACCCCUGUUGCCCGGGGCGACCAUCCCUUUUCGAGGGGACUGACGGUACCGGGGGAGGAAGCACCGGCUAAACCCGUGCCAGCAGCCGCGGUACUACGGAGGGUGCGAGCGUUGUCCGGAAUCACUGGGCGUAAAGGGCGCGUAGGCGGCUUCUCAAGCGCGCGGGGAAAGCCCGGGGCUCAACCCCGGGUCGGCCGUGCGGACUGGGGGGCUCGAGCACUGUAGGGGCGGGUGGAAUUCCGGGUGUAGCGGUGGAAUGCGUGGAGACCCGGAAGAACACCGGUGGCGAAGGCGGCCCGCUGGGCAGGAAGAGAGCGCAAGCUCUCGGCUGACGCUGAGGCGCGACAGCGUGGGGAGCAAAC